ACCUUAACUAUUAAAAGUUUCGUUUUGGUCCCUUAACUUACUUUUUGGUUUCGUUUUGAUCCUUUAACUUACUUUUUGGUUUUGUUUUGGUCCCUUAACUCAUCCUCUGUCAACCACUUUGGUCCUUUAUGUUAGGAUGAAUGUAUUAGAGUUAAGGGACCAAAAUGAAACCAAAAAAUAAGUUAAGGGACCAAAACGAAACCAAAAAGUAAGUUAAAGGACCAAAACGAAACUUUUAAUAGUUAAGGGA
RNAcentral lists this microRNA precursor (250 nucleotides) under Medicago truncatula (barrel medic). RNAcentral describes it as "MIR2655 microRNA precursor family". It matches the Rfam family "MIR2655 microRNA precursor family". Lineage: Eukaryota; Viridiplantae; Streptophyta; Magnoliopsida; Fabales; Fabaceae. The record is from Rfam by way of RNAcentral.